Amphiprion ocellaris (clown anemonefish) is the source of this 785-nucleotide long non-coding RNA. NCBI's taxonomy places the organism in Eukaryota, Metazoa, Chordata, Actinopteri, Pomacentridae. The record is from Ensembl.
GUCUCCAUGUUGUUCUCCAUGUUGAUCUCCAUGUAGUUCUCCAUGUAGUUCUCCAUGUUGUUCUCAAUGUUGAUCUCAAUGUUGUUCUACAUGUUGUUCUCCAUGUUGGUCUCCAUGUUGGUCUCUGUGUUGUUCUCCAUGUUGUUCUCAAUGUUGAUCUCAAUGUUGUUCUACAUGUUGGUCUUCAUGUUGUUCUCCAUGUAGUUCUCCAUGUUGGUCUUCAUGUUGGUCUUCAUGUUGGUCUCCAUGUUGUUCUCCAUGUACUUCUCCAUGUUGGUCUCCAUGUUGGUCUCCAUGUUGUUCUCCAUGUACUUCUCCAUGUUGGUCUCCAUGUUGGUCUCCAUGUUGGUCUCCAUGUAGUUCUCCAUGUUGGUCUCCAUUUUGGUCUCCAUGUUGGUCUCCAUGUAGUUCUCCGUGUUGUUCUCCAUGUUGAUCUCAAUGUUGUUCUACAAGUUGUUCUCCAUGUUGGUCUUCAUGUUGGUCUCAAUGUUGUUCUCCAUGUUGUUCUCCAUGUUGGUCUUCAUGUUGGUCUUCAUGUUGUUCUCCAUGUUGAUCUCAAUGUUGUUCUACAUGUUGGUCUCCAUGUAGGUCUCCAUGUAGGUCUCCAUGUUGAUCUCCAUGUUGUUCUCCAUGUUGUUCUCCAUGUAGGUCUCCAUGUUGGUCUCCAUGUUGUUCUCCAUGUUGGUCUCCAUGUUGGUCUCCGUGUAGUUCUCCGUGUUGGUCUCCGUGUUGGUCUCCGUGUUGGUCUCCAUGUAGGUCUCCGUGUUGUUCUCCAUGUUGGUCUC